ACAUCAGUGUAUAGAAACCUGAAGUUCCUGGCUUCCUGCUGGGAAAGAGGCUUGGGGUUCUCAUGAAAGUGAUUCUGCCAGUAUAGAACUCUGGCCCGAGAAGCUGUAGGGAGGUUUGUCAACCCAGAAGAAAGAUGAGGGGAUCAUGUAUGAAGCAGCGGGGGGUGGGAGAAUAGCCCAUCAUUCAGCUUCAGCUAAAGUAGGAGGAGUGGGUGAGUCACUCUCUCUAAUGACUUAUCCUGGUGUUUUUCUUUCUAAAGACUUGAUGCUGGAGAGUCUAAGUGACGAGGAGACUCAUCCAGGUAGGGAACUACGUGCCAGGAAAAACCCAAUGGGAAAAGGUUCCCAGGAGCCUCCAGGUUAUCCCUGCUGCUUGUGAGGAGGGGCUGAAGGAGGGGGUAUGAAAUCAGAAAGAAAAUGGAAAUAUGUGUGAGGUCUGGCUUGUUGUUUUCAGUUUCUUGGCAUCAUGGUAAGAACUGUCUCUAUGGGCUUUGGGGGUGCCACGUUCAUGAGAGAUUCUCUUUGCAGUCCACCUGCUCUUUUCUGCCUGUGGAACAUGAGAGCCUUUGGUUUGGAUUAGUCAGCACUCCUAGGGAUUGUGCACAAGGUGUAGGCUUAAGCGCCGCAGGUGUCAUCUGUGAUGGAAGGACUCCUGGGGGACACAGCUCUCUCACAGGCAUUUCCUGGAACCUAGAGAAACAGUUCUUCUGCUGUGUGCCAAGGGGAAAUCAAGAGUCACCCUCUGAACUUUCAGGACUUGUUAGUGCAUGUUCAUGUGUCUGUCCUCACUGUCGUUCCUGGUCUAGGGAUCUCCUGGGGUGGAUGGCCCGAGGUGAAUGCCUCCGCAGCUGGGCUCCACUGGUAAAACUCAGUGCUUUGGAGGAGAAGAAUGUUUGACCUUGAGGCAUAUUCCAGCCUCCACUUUGGCAGUCACAGAUUCUGGGAUGGGGUUUCUUUCUCCCCAGUUCUCUAAUUUUUGGAGAAGCCAAUAGUUCCUUCCCACAAAAGAUAGUAUCACACUAUUUCCUAUCUUCAAAACUUUGGCUUUGGUUUUGUUCUCUAAGUUGAUAUUCAUCACUUAAGUUCUAGACUUUUUCCUUUUUUCUUUUUUUUUUUUUCUAGGGAUAGUGCAAGCUCUGUGAGACUGGAGUGCAGUGGUGUGAUCUCAGCUCACUGCCACCUCUGCCUCCUGGGUUCGCGCCAUUCUUCUGCCCCAGCCUCUUCAGUAGCUGGGACUACAGAGGCGCCCACCACCACGCUUGGCUAAUUUUUUUGUAUUUUUGAUAGAGACAGGGUUUCACCAUGUUGGUCAGGCUGGUCACGCACUCCUGACCUCAGGCAAUCUGCACACCUCAGCCUCCCAAAGUGCUCAGAUUAUAGGCAUGAGCCACUGUACCUGGCCAGAGUUACUUUUAAUAUAAUUUUGACUAUCUCAAGUAAUGGUGCUUUGAUAUUUUUGUCAAUGGUUUUGGAAUAGCACCAACCGCAUCUGUGGGAGUAGACUCUUAGAGGGGCAUAUCUUUCAUUAUGCAUAAAUAAUGCCAAACUUUUUCCAAAAUAGUGAGCGCAAUUCAUGCUCCUCCUAUUUAUCCUUAUGUGAAUAGCCAUUUCUCCAAAUCCUCAUGGACUCUUAGUUUAUCUCUUUCUAAAAAUUCCAUCACUGUGGUUAGUCUGUCAUUUGUAUAACAUAUUACUUAAAAUCUUUACCAAAAGAAAUGUUGUUUGACUCUAAUGAUGCAAGCGCCAGUAGGUUUAUUUUACACCGCCUCACCACGAACCG
Long non-coding RNA from Papio anubis (olive baboon), 1780 nucleotides. The record is from Ensembl. NCBI's taxonomy places the organism in Eukaryota, Metazoa, Chordata, Mammalia, Primates, Cercopithecidae.